GAUGAACGCUGGCGGCGUGCCUAAUACAUGCAAGUCGAGCGAACGGACGAGAAGCUUGCUUCUCUGAUGUUAGCGGCGGACGGGUGAGUAACACGUGGAUAACCUACCUAUAAGACUGGGAUAACUUCGGGAAACCGGAGCUAAUACCGGAUAAUAUUUUGAACCGCAUGGUUCAAAAGUGAAAGACGGUCUUGCUGUCACUUAUAGAUGGAUCCGCGCUGCAUUAGCUAGUUGGUAAGGUAACGGCUUACCAAGGCAACGAUGCAUAGCCGACCUGAGAGGGUGAUCGGCCACACUGGAACUGAGACACGGUCCAGACUACUACGGGAGGCAGCAGUAGGGAAUCUUCCGCAAAGGGCGAAAGCCUGACGGAGCAACGCCGCGUGAGUGAUGAAGGUCUUCGGAUCGUAAAACUCUGUUAUUAGGGAAGAACAUAUGUGUAAGUAACUGUGCACAUCUUGACGGUACCUAAUCAGAAAGCCACGGCUAACUACGUG
This 497-nucleotide ribosomal RNA is filed under the name uncultured bacterium. RNAcentral's name for it is "partial 16S ribosomal RNA". It matches the Rfam family "Bacterial small subunit ribosomal RNA", at positions 28 to 507 of the family's 1533-position model. The record is from RNAcentral.